UCCCUGGUGGUCUCGUGGUUAGGAUUCGGCACUUUCACUGCUGCAGCCUGGGUUCAAUCCCCGGUCUGGGAA
This 72-nucleotide transfer RNA is filed under the name Sus scrofa (pig). It matches the Rfam family "tRNA". Rfam says of the family: Transfer RNA (tRNA) molecules are approximately 80 nucleotides in length. Their secondary structure includes four short double-helical elements and three loops (D, anti-codon, and T loops). The record is from Rfam by way of RNAcentral. Lineage: Eukaryota; Metazoa; Chordata; Mammalia; Artiodactyla; Suidae.